Molecule: long non-coding RNA, 3060 nt
Organism: Triticum dicoccoides
Lineage: Eukaryota; Viridiplantae; Streptophyta; Magnoliopsida; Poales; Poaceae
Exons: 3
Source: RefSeq, a predicted model, not a curated record
CCGCGGUCCUGGGAGUGCUGGAAGUCCUGGGAUCUCCAACAGUUCUCCGAGCAUGAGGGCAUCCACAGUGUGUAGAGGCAACCCAGCCUCUAAGGUGGGCCCCAUACACCUGCCUCUAAGCCAAUGCAUCCUUCCCGCAAUGAACCACGCCAUCGUCUCGACCGUCUCCGGCGACCAGGCAAACCAAAUACCUCGCGCGAGGCUGGACGACGGAGGCGGUUGAUCUAGCAGCUGGAUGUGGACUGCUGGUGGUGGCGGGGGGUGCAGCAACUGCGCCGGCAAGUGCGUCGAGGCGCAGCCGCCGGUGUAUUCCUGCUGACCAACUGCGCCGGCGAUGCCGAGGAAGCGCUACGCUGAUAGCGGCGGCAGCGGCGUUGUGCGAGUACUAGGCGCAGGUCUGGCGCAUGGGCGGGUUCACGCGGAAGCACAAGGUGAGAUGUGGCUGUUCAUGGGUUUCCUGUACGUGAGUAUGUGACUUUGUAUUUUGGUGGCUUUUGAGCUGAAUAUAGUAGGGAAUAUCACAUAUCUCCAUUACAGCCUUCUUAUAUUAAACAUUAGAAAAAAUAAAAGAUCUAGCAAUACAAAUAUUUUGGUGGCAGCAUACAGAGUACAUGGUGAACAAAUCUGGAAUAAACUAGUCUAGAAAUAAAAUUACAAAUUAUUUGUUGGGCCUCUAAUACAAGCUAAGGCUGACCACCCCCGAAUGGUUGCCAUAGAUACUCUAUCAAAUCGCCUUUGAGUUGUCGAUGUGUAGCUCGAUCACGAAUUGCUGAGCCUAUCUCCAGCACUCUGGCAAAUUCAUGAAUUGGCCCAUGGUUCAGAUUAUCUAUUUCGUUGUUAAAGGUACCCUGAUCAUAGUCAUAGUCGAAGCGAACCUCAUAGGAAUCCCGCUCAUCCUCGACUAUCAUAUUAUGCAAUAUAACACAUGCAUACAUGAUAUCAGCAAUAUCUUGCCUAUACCAAAGAUUAACCGGACCACGUACAAUAGCAAAUCGAGAUUGUAGAACUCCAAAUGCAUGUUCAACAUCUUUUCUUGCACCUUCUUGCAUCUUUGCAAACAAUUUUGUCUUGUCAGUUGGGGGCAAGCGGAUUGUCUUCUAGCAUGAUUGUUGGUACUCCAUAAUCACCACGAGUAAACUGCGCCUUCCAAGGGACAGGGCAAUUUUUCCACUCCCAAUGCAUGCAAUCAAUACUUCCUAGCAUACCAGGGAAUCCACGAGCCUCUCCUAUAUGAAGUAAGCGUUGAACAUCUUCUUCAGUAGGUCUUCGCAAAUAUACUUCACCAAAGUUCUCUCUAAUGCCUUUUGCAAAUUCUCUCAAGGACUCAAGGGAUGUGGUUUCAGCCAUACUUAGAGUGUCAUCGAUAUAAUCUGCCGGGACACCAUAGGCUAACAUCCGCAUAGCUGCUGUACACUUUUGCAAUGGUGAAAAACCUUUCUUGCCAAAGGCAUCAUACCUUUGACUAAAGUAAGGUGACCAAUCACCAAGAGUGUGCAUAAUAUGUUCAAAUAGAUGCUUUCUCAUUCGAUACCUUCGACGAAAUUGCUUGGGGCUGAAGACUGGGACAUCGGCGAAGUACUCAGCAUACAACUUGUUGUGGCCGGCUUGACGAUCUCUGGCUCUGUAUCUUCGAUGAUGCUUUUGUGGCUGGCUAGGAAAUAGUUGUCUACCUAUAAUAGAUUCAAUGGAAUUUUCGAUUUUGUCAUCCAUUGAAUCAUUUCCAUCACUGCUAGAACUAAUUGAAAUGGAGGAGAAGGAGUCUGAAGACAUGUUUGAAGUGGACGAGCUACUGGUGUAUGCCUCCAGAAGUGGAGUCCUUUAUUUGUAGUGCAUUAUGUUUCCAACGGCUAGUUUUCUGCACAUGUAUUCUGGUUCCAACAGCUAGUUUUCUGAACAUGCAGCUAUUUUCAACGGCUAGUUUUCUGCACAUUUAUUCUGGUUCCAACGGCUAGUUUUCUGAACAUGCAGCUCUUUUCAACGGCUAGUUUUCUGUCAUUACUGUUUGAUACAUUGCUGGAACAUUGAUACAUUGAUGAUAGACUAAAUAAUACAAUACCAAAACUAAAAGAUAUCUUUGACAGAAAUGGAAAGAUACAUUGAUGAGAGCCUGAAACUAAAUGAUACAAUACCGAAACUAAAAGAUACAUUGUUGAAAUGGAAAGAUACAUUGAUGAGAGGCUGAAACUAAAUGGUACUAGUAAUUAUUAAAUAGAUAGCUCCAUGCCUAGAAGAUUCAGAAGCUGGUUAUAUCGCUGUAGCUUUGCUGCAUCAUAUCCGGAUGUGUCUGUCUCCAGUAACUUCAUAUACUUGCUCAAUUUUUUGGUUCUUGCCUUCUCAAGUGUGGUAGCAGCUAAUCUUUCAUUGCAGAUGCCUUCUCCUUUCUUGCUUCUGCAGCCAUCUCUAUUGCAGUUGAUUUUCUUGCUAUGGCAUCAUGAUAUAGUUGCAUAGUUGGAUCUGGCAGGUUGCUUGAAGAAGAGUCGGCCUUUGCUGGGGCCUUUCCUUUGCGUUUUGCGCCCUUCUGUCCCGGAGGACGACGUUCCAAUGGUCUGUCCACUGAUUCUUCAACAUCUUUACUAGAAGAAGAAAUGAGGCUGAGGCGAAUAAUGAAAAUAUCCGGCAUCUUUGUUGAUCCUAGCAUGUGGAUCAAUCCCGGUGAAGCCGGCGGCUGCAGAAGAUGAAUGACCAUAUGAACCUCCUCCAUACACUCCUUGGAAACCUGAGGUAUGUGGAGGUGGAAAUGGAUACAUGUUCUGUGCAUACAUGGGAUGCAAAUAUUGCCCAUGCUGAGAGGAUGAAGCACUUGUGAACUGGUGAGGUGGGGUGGCAGAUGGGGUAUAGUUUCGAUUUUCUGGAUCUUGGCUUGAGCAACUAUUUAGCAUCCUAGUGAAAUUUCCUGGAGAGUGCUCCAUGAAUGUGAAGUUUUUUGAGGUGUCUAGGCUCCCAGUUGGUUUGGGUGUGUGCAAACUUAUUGUUCAAAGCCCUAGUAUAUAUACUGAUAGAUGUGUGUAUGCACACACUUGUUGUAACGGCCAUAAUUUGUUGUUUAUUAUUAUUUUGAAA